Molecule: ribosomal RNA, 754 nt
Filed under: uncultured bacterium
Lineage: Bacteria
Description: bacterial SSU rRNA
Rfam family: Bacterial small subunit ribosomal RNA
Source: RNAcentral
AACUGCCCGAAAGGGUGGCUAAUACCGCAGAUGUUGCGACUUCGGUGUCGCAACUGAACUUCCGGGGUUCGGAGAGGGGCCUGCGUCCGAUUAGCUAGUUGGUGGGGUAACGGCCUACCAAGGCGACGAUCGGUAGCUGGUCUGAGAGGAUGAUCAGCCAGACUGGGACUGCGAACGGCCCAGACUCCUACGGGAGGCAGCAGUUAGGAAUUUUAGGCAAUGGGCGAAAGCCUGACCCAGCAACGCCGCGUGGGUGAUGAAGGCCCUCGGGUCGUAAAGCCCUUUUCCAGGGGAAGAUAGUGACGGUACCCUGGGAAUCAGCCCCGGCUAACUACGUGCCAGCAGCCGCGGUAAUACGUAGGGGGCAAGCGUUGUCCGGAUUUAUUGGGCGUAAAGCGCUCGCAGGUGGUCCGUUGCGUCGUGCGUGAAAGACCCCGGCUCAACUGGGGAGGGUCGUGCGAUACGGGCGGACUAGAGGCCAGUAGGGGGAUGCGGAAUUCCGGGUGUAGUGGUGGAAUGCGUAGAGAUCCGGAGGAACACCAGCGGCGAAGGCGGCAUCCUGGACUGGUCCUGACACUCAGGAGCGAAAGCGUGGGGAGCGAUCCGGAUUAGAUACCCGGGUAGUCCACGCUGUAAACGAUGAGUACUAGGUGUUGGGGGUAUCGACCCCCUCAGUGCCGAAGCAAACGCGAUAAGUACUCCGCCUGGGGACUACGGCCGCAAGGCUAAAACUCAAAGGAAUUGACGGGGGCCC